This 5292-nucleotide long non-coding RNA is filed under the name Cucumis sativus (cucumber). RNAcentral's name for it is "long non-coding RNA (CSAT_LNC000178)". Lineage: Eukaryota; Viridiplantae; Streptophyta; Magnoliopsida; Cucurbitales; Cucurbitaceae. The record is from RNAcentral.
UCGGUUUCUUGGUUCCGUCCCAAAACGCCGAAGAAAGGCACAAUGGCCUAGAAAGGGAUAGUCGGACUUGGAACGGGGUCCGAGGCCUCGAAAGUCCACAUCUAGCUACUGGGUGGUCCGAUUCUGAGUGAUCUCGAACUUUCUUGUCCACAAAAGCCGAACGGUGACGCCCCAGACUCGGUUUCUUGGUUCCGUCCCAAAACGCCGAAGAAAGGCACAAUGGCCUAGAAAGGGACGGUCGGACUUGGAACGGGGUCCGAGGCCUCGAAAGUCCACAUCAAGCUACUGGGUGGUCCGAUUCUGAGUGAUCUCGAAGUUUCUAGCCACAAAAGCCGAACGGUGACGCCCCAGACUCGGUUUUUUGGUUCCGUCCCAAAACGCCGAAGAAAGGCACAAUGGCCUAGAAAGGGACGGUCGGACAUGGAACGGGGUCCGAGGCGUCGAAAGUCCACAUCUAGCUACUGGGUGGUCCGAUUCCGAGUGAUCUCGAAGUUUCUUGCCCACAAAAGCCGAACGGUGCGCCCCAGACUCGGUUUCUUGGUUCCGUCCCGAAACGCCGAAGAAAGGCACAAUGGCCUCGAAAGGGACGGUCGGACUUGGAACGGGGUCUGAGGCCUCGAAAGUCCACAUCUAGCUACUUGGUGGUCCGAUUCUGAGUGAUCUCGAAGUUUCUUGCCCAGAAAAGCCGAACGGUGUCGCCCUAGACUCGGUUUCUUGGUUCCGUCCCAAAACGCCGAAGAAAGGCACAAUGGCCCAGUAAGGGACGGUCGGACUAGGAACGGGGUCCGAGGCCUCGAAAGUCCACAUCUAGCUACUGGGUGGUCCGAUUCUGAGUGAUCUCGAAGUUUCUUGCCCACAAAAGCCGAACGGUGACGCCCCAGACUCGGUUUCUUGGUUUUGUCCCAUAACGCCGAAGAAAGGCACAGUGGCCUAGAAAGGGACGGUCGGACUUGGAACGGGGUCCUAGGCCUCGAAAGUCCACAUCUAGCUACUUGAUGGUCCGAUUCUGAGUGAUCUCGAAGUUUCUUGGCCACAAAAGCCGAACGGUGACGCCCCAGACUCGGUUUCUUGGUUCCGUACCAAAACGCCGAAGAAAGGCACAGUGGCCUAGAAAGGGACGGUCGGACUUGGAACGGGGUCCGAGGCCUCGAAAGUCCACAUCUAGCUACUGGGUGGUCCGAUUCUGAGUUAUCUCGAAGUUUCUUGCGCACAAAAACCAAACGGUGACGCCCCAGACUCGGUUUCUUGGUUCCUUCCGAAAACGCCGAAGAAAGACACAAUGGCCUAGAAAGGGACGGUCGGACUUGGAACGCAGUCCGGGGCCUCGAAAGUCCACAUCUAGCUACUGGGUGGUCCGAUUCUGAGUGAUCUCGAAGUUUCUUGCCCACAAAAGCCGAACGGUGUCGCCCCAGACUCGGUUUCUUGGUUCCGUCCCAAAACGUCGAAGAAAGGCACAUUGGCCUAGAAAGGGACGGUCGGACUUGGAACGGUGUCCGAGGCCUCGAAAGUCCACAUCUAGCUACUCCGUGGUCCGAUUCUGAGUGAUCUCGAAGUUUCUUGCCCACAAAAGGCGAACGGUGACGCCCCAGACUCGGUUUCUUGGUUCCGUCCAAAAACGCCGAAGAAAGGGACAAUGGCCUAGAAAGGGACGGUCGGACUUGGAACGCGGUCCGAGGCCUCGAAAGUCCACAUCUAACUACCGGGUGGUCCGAUUCUGAGUGAUCUCGAAGUUUCUUGCCCACAAAAGCUGAACGGUGACGCCCCAAACUCGGUUUCUUGGUUCCGUCCCAAAACGCCGAAGAAAGGCACAAUUUCCUAGAAAGGGACGAUCGGACUUGGAACGGGUCCGAGGCCUCGAAAGUCCACAUCUAGCUACUGGGUGGUCCGAUUCUGAGUGAUCUCGAAGUUUCUUGCCCACAAAAGCCGAACGGUGACGCCCCAGACUCGGUUUCUUGGUUCCGUCCCAAAACGCUGAAGAAAGGCACAAUGGCCUAGAAAGGGACGGUCGGACUUGGAACGAGGUCCGAGGCCUCGAAAGUACACAUGUAGCUACUGGGUGGUCUGAUUCUUAGUGACCUUGAAGUUUCUUAACCACAAAAGCCGAACGGUGACGCCCCAGACUCGGUUUCUUGGUUCCCUCCCAAAACGCCGAAGAAAGGCACAAUGGCCUAGAAAGGGACGGUCGGACUUGGAACGGGGUCCGAAGCCUCGAAAGUCCACAUGUAGCUACUGGGUGGUCCGAUUCUUUGUGAUCUCGAAGUUUCUUGACCACAAAAGCCGAACGGUGACGCCCAGACUCGGUUUCUUGGUUCCGUCCCAAAACGCCGAAGAAAAGCACAAUGGCCUAGAAAGGGACGGUCGGACUUGGAACGGGGUCCGAGGCCUCGAAAGUCCACAUCUAGCUACUGGGUGGUCUGAUUCUUUGUGAUCUCGAAGUUUCUUGCCCACAAAAGCCGAACGGUGACGCCCAGACUCGGUUUCUUAGUUCCGUCCCAAAACGCCGAAGAAAGGCACAAUUUCCUAGAAAGGGACGGUCGGACUUGGAACGGGGUCCGAGGCCUCGAAAGUCCAUAUCUAGCUACUGGGUGGUCCGAUUCUGAGUGAUCUCGAAGUUUCUUGCCCACAAAAGCCGAACGGUGACGCCCGAGACUCGGUUUCUUGGUUCCGUCCCAAAACGCCGAAGAAAAGCACAAUGGCCUAGAAAGGGACGGUCGGACUUGGAACGGGGUCCGAGGCCUCGAAAGUCCACAUCUAGCUACUGGGUGGUCUGAUUCUUUGUGAUCUCGAAGUUUCUUGCCCACAAAAGCCGAACGGUGACGCCCCAGACUCGGUUUCUUGGUUCCGUCCCAAAACGCCGAAGAAAGGCACAAUGGACUAGAAAGAGACGGUCGGACUUGGAACGGGGUCCGAGGCCUCAAAAGUCCACAUCUAGCUACUGGGUGGUCCGAUUCUUUGUGAUCUCGAAGUUUCUUGCCCACAAAAGCCGAACGGUGACGCCCCAGACUCGGUUUCUUGGUUCCGUCACAAAACGCCGAAGAAAGGCACAAUGGCCUAGAAAGGGACGGUCGGACUUGGAACGGGGUCCGAGGCCUCGAAAGUCCACAUCUAGCUACUGGGUGGUCCGAUUCUUUGUGAUCUCGAAGUUUCUUGCCCACAAAAGCCGAACGGUGACGCCCCAGACUCGGUUUCUUGGUUCCAUCCCAAAACGCGGAAGAAAGGCACAAUGGCCUAGAAAGGGACGGUCGGACUUGGAACGGGGUCCGUUGCCUCGAAAGUCCACAUCUAGCUACUGGGUGGUCCGAUUCUGAGUGAUCUCGAAGUUUCUUGCCCACAAAAGCCGAACGGUGACGCCUAGACUCGGUUUCUUGGUUUCGUCCCAAAACGCCGAAGAAAGGCACAGUGGCCUAGAAAGGGACGGUCGGACUUGGAACGGGGUCUGAGGCCUCGAAAGUCCACAUCUAGCUACUGGGUGGUCCGAUUCUUUGUGAUCUCGAAGUUUCUUGCCCACAAAAGCCGAACGGUGACGCCCAGACUCGGUUUCUUGGUUCCGUCCCAAAACGCCGAAAAAAGGCACAAUGGCCUAGAAAGGGACGGUCGGACUUGGAACGGGGUCCGAGGCCUCGAAAGUCCACAUCUAGCUACUGGUGGUCCGAUUCUUUGUGAUCUGGAAGUUUCUUGCCCACAAAAGCCGAACGGUGAUGCCCGAGACUCGGUUUCUUGGUUCCGUCCCAAAACGCCGAAGAAAGGCACAAUGGCCUAGAAAUGGACGGUCCGACUCGGAACGGGGUCCGAGGCCUCGAAAGUCCACAUCUAGCUACUGGGUGGUUCGAUUCAGAGUGAUCUCGAAGUUUCUUGCUCACAAAAGCCGAACGGUGACACCCCAGACUCGGUUUCUUGGUUCCGUCCCAAAACGCCGAAGAAAGGCACAAUGGCCUAGAAAGGGACGAUCGGACUUGGAACGGGGUCCGAGGCCUCGAUAGUCCACAUCUAGCUACUAGGUGGUCCGAUUCUUUGUGAUCUUGAAGUUUCUUGCCCACAAAAGCCGAACGGUGACGCCCCAGACUCGGUUUCUUGGUUUCGUCCCAAAACGCCGAAGAAAGGCACAAUGGCCUAGAAAGGGACGGUCGGACUUGGAACGGGGUCCGAGGCCUCGAAAGUCCACAUCUAGCUACUGGGUGGUCCGAUUCUUUGUGAUCUCGAAGUUUCUUGCACACAAAAGCCGAACGGUGACGCCCCAGACUCGGUUUCUUGGUUCCGUCCCAAAACGCCGAAGAAAGGCACAAUGGCCUAGAAAGGGACGGUCGGACUCGGAACGGGGUCCGAGGCCUCGAAAGUCCACAUCUAGCGACUGGGUGGUCCGAUUCAGAGUGAUCUCGAAGUUUCUUGCCCACAAAAGCCAAACGGUGACUCCCCAGACUCGGUUUCUUGGUUCCGUCCCAAAACGCCGAAGAAAGGCACAAUGGCUUAGAAAGGGACGGUCGGACUUGGAACGGGGUCCGAGGCCUCGAAAGUCCACAUCUAGCUACUGGGUGGUCCGAUUCUUUGUGAUCUCGAAGUUUCUUGCCCACAAAAGCCGAACGGUGACGCCCGAGACUCGGUUUCUUGGUUCCGUCCCAAAACGCCGAAGAAAGGCACAAUGGCCUAGAAAGGGACGGUCGGACUUGGAACGGGGUCCGAGGCCUCGAAAGUCCACAUCUAGCGACUGGGUGGUCCAAUUCAGAGUGAUCUCGAAGUUUCUUGCCCACAAAAGCCGAACGGUGACGCCCCAGACUCGGUUUCUUGGUUCCGUCCCAAAACGCCGAAGAAAGGCACAAUGGCCUAGAAAGGGACGGUUGGACUUGGAACGGGGUCCGAGGCCUCGAAAGUCCACAUCUAGCUACUAGGUGGUCCGAUUCUUUGUGAUCUUGAAGUUUCUUGCCCACAAAAGCCUAACGGUGACGCCCCAGACUCGGUUUCUUGGUUUCGUCCCAAAACGCCGAAGAAAGGCACAAUGGCCUAGAAAGGGACGGUCGGACUUGGAACGGGGUCCGAGGCCUCGAAAGUCCACAUCUAGCUACUGGGUGGUCCGAUUCUUUGUGAUCUCGAAGUUUCUUGCCCACAAAAGCCGAACGGUGACGCCCAGACUCGGUUUCUUGGUUCCGUCCCAAAACGCCGAAGAAAGGCACAAUGGCCUAGAAAGGGACGGUCGGACUCGGAACGAGGUCCGAGGACUCGAAAGUCCACAUCUAGCUACUGAGUGGUCCGAUUCUGAGUGAUCUCGAAGUUUCUUGCCCACAAAAGCCGAACGGUGAC